RNAcentral lists this ribosomal RNA (502 nucleotides) under Agathobacter rectalis. RNAcentral describes it as "partial 23S ribosomal RNA". It matches the Rfam family "Bacterial large subunit ribosomal RNA", at positions 1431 to 1953 of the family's 2925-position model. Lineage: Bacteria; Bacillati; Bacillota; Clostridia; Lachnospirales; Lachnospiraceae. The record is from RNAcentral.
UUAGAUUCCUGUACCACGCAUUAUCAGAACUGUAGGGACGCAUGUGGAAAGCACGAGCCGGGAAUGGAAAAACCGGUACAAGCGGGGUAGGUGUACGAUAGGCAAAUCCGUUGUAUAAUCCGAAGACGUGAUGUGGAGCGAAAUAAAGUAGUGAAGCGUGUGAGCCAUGUGCCGAGAAAAGCUGCUAUUGUGUAAUGCGUGCCCGUACCGUAAACCGACACAGGUGGAUGAGGAGAGAAUCCUAAGGCCGGCGGAAGAAGCAUUGUUAAGGAAUUCGGCAAAAUGACCCCGUAACUUCGGGAGAAGGGGUGCCUGCGAGAGCAGGCCGCAGAGAAUAGGCUCAAGCAACUGUUUAGCAAAAACACAGGUCUAUGCGAAACCGAAAGGUGAAGUAUAUGGGCUGACGCCUGCCCGGUGCUGGAAGGUUAAGAGGAGAGGUUAGCGUAAGCGAAGCUUUGAAUUUAAGCCCCAGUAAACGGCGGCCGUAACUAUAACGGUCCUA